UACGGAGGGGGCUAGCGUUGUUCGGAAUUACUGGGCGUAAAGCGCGCGUAGGCGGGAUGUUAAGUCGAGGGUGAAAUCCCGGGGCUCAACCCCGGAACUGCCUUCGAUACUGGCAGCCUAGAGGACGGUAGAGGUGAGUGGAAUGCCGAGUGUAGAGGUGAAAUUCGUAGAUAUUCGGCGGAACACCCGUGGCGAAGGCGGCUCACUGGCCCGAUACUGACGCUGAGGUGCGAAAGCGUGGGGAGCAAACAGG
Molecule: ribosomal RNA, 253 nt
Filed under: uncultured bacterium
Lineage: Bacteria
Description: partial 16S ribosomal RNA
Rfam family: Bacterial small subunit ribosomal RNA
Source: RNAcentral